This 68-nucleotide transfer RNA is filed under the name Rattus norvegicus (Norway rat). It matches the Rfam family "tRNA". Rfam says of the family: Transfer RNA (tRNA) molecules are approximately 80 nucleotides in length. Their secondary structure includes four short double-helical elements and three loops (D, anti-codon, and T loops). The record is from Rfam by way of RNAcentral. Lineage: Eukaryota; Metazoa; Chordata; Mammalia; Rodentia; Muridae.
GCAUGGGUGGUUUAGUGGAAUUCUCGCAUGCCGUGUGGGAGGCCUGGGUUCGAUUCCUGGCUCAUGCA